Molecule: ribosomal RNA, 264 nt
Filed under: uncultured archaeon
Lineage: Archaea
Description: partial 16S ribosomal RNA
Rfam family: Archaeal small subunit ribosomal RNA
Source: RNAcentral
UAGCCGUAAACGAUACUCGCUAGGUGUCGGCCACGGUGCGACCGUUGUCGGUGCCGUAGGGAAGCCGUGAAGCGAGCCACCUGGGAAGUACGGCCGCAAGGCUGAACUUAAAGGAAUUGGCGGGGGAGGCGACAACAACGGGUGGAGCUUGCGGUUAAUUUGGAGUUCAACGCCGGAAAUCUUACCGGGACCGGACAGCAACAUGAAGGCCAAGCUGAAGACUUUGCCGGAUUAGCUGAGAGGUGGUGCAUGGCGUAGUCGUGU